GGGACAACCAGCCGAAAGGUUGGCUAAUACCGCAUGAGUUCUACGGAAGAAAGAGGGGGACCCGCAAGGGCCUCUCGCGAGCGGAGCGGCCGAUGACUGAUUAGCCGGUUGGUGAGGUAACGGCUCACCAAAGCAACGAUCAGUAGCUGGUCUGAGAGGACGACCAGCCACACUGGGACUGAGACACGGCCCAGACUCCUACGGGAGGCAGCAGUGGGGAAUUUUGGACAAUGGGCGCAAGCCUGAUCCAGCUAUUCCGCGUGUGGGAUGAAGGCCCUCGGGUUGUAAACCACUUUUGUAGAGAACGAAAAGACACCUUCGAAUAAAGGGUGUUGCUGACGGUACUCUAAGAAUAAGCACCGGCUAACUACGUGCCAGCAGCCGCGGUAAUACGUAGGGUGCGAGCGUUAAUCGGAAUUACUGGGCGUAAAGGGUGCGCAGGCGGUUGAGUAAGACAGAUGUGAAAUCCCCGAGCUUAACUCGGGAAUGGCAUAUGUGACUGCUCGGCUAGAGUGUGUCAGAGGGAGGUGGAAUUCCACGUGUAGCAGUGAAAUGCGUAGAUAUGUGGAAGAACACCGAUGGCGAAGGCAGCCUCCUGGGACAUAACUGACGCUCAGGCACGAAAGCGCGGGGAGCAAACAGGAUUAGAUACCCUGGUAGUCCACGCCCUAAACGAUGUUAACUAGUUGUUGGGAAGUAAUAUUCUCAGUAACGCAGCC
This 719-nucleotide ribosomal RNA is filed under the name uncultured bacterium. RNAcentral's name for it is "bacterial SSU rRNA". It matches the Rfam family "Bacterial small subunit ribosomal RNA", at positions 140 to 853 of the family's 1533-position model. The record is from RNAcentral.